RNAcentral lists this unclassified non-coding RNA (1088 nucleotides) under Hevea brasiliensis (rubber tree). Lineage: Eukaryota; Viridiplantae; Streptophyta; Magnoliopsida; Malpighiales; Euphorbiaceae. The record is from RNAcentral.
GAUAAAAUCAUUCUGGAGGCAGAUAGCCUUGAGAAAUUGCAGUUAAAAGAUUGUACACUUGAGGUCUUUGAGCUUGUCAGCAAGGGGAAGUUAAGACUCCUUAAGAUUGAUGAUGUUAGCGUCAUCCAUCUUGAUAUUGGUGAUAGCGCUGAGAAUCUUGAGAUUGUGGAUGUCAGCAAUUUCACUAUCAUGUGGUCCAAGUUCCAUCAUAUGAUAGCAAAGUCAUCAAAACUGAGAAGACUGAGGCUAUGGGCAGUUGUGUUUGAUGAUGAUGAUGAGGUUGUUGAUAUUGAGACAAUUUCUGCUUGCUUUCCGCAUCUAACUCAUCUCUCCUUGAGCUAUGAACUAAGAGAGGCAGUAAUUCAGUAUGGAUUGCAGGGUUCUUUUCAAUUGGAAAAUGUGGUUGUAUUGGAGCUUGGUUGGACGGUGAUCAGUGACCUCUUUUCACAGUGGGUAGCCGGGCUAUUGGAAAGAUGCCCUAAUCUAAGGAAGUUAGUGAUUCAUGGGGUUGUUUCAGAAACCAAAACACACGAAGAAUGCCAAACAUUAGCAAAAUUCACAUCCUUUAUUGUAAGGCUAAUGAAGAAGUAUUUGAAGAUAGAUGUUCAGUUUGAAUAUGAAUAGAUUUGAGCAACUGUACCCAGCCUUGGAAUUCACAUUUUUGUUCAAAUGUUAAUAGCUGAAGGAGGUACAUGACGAUCCUUUGUGGUGAUUGUUUCUGUUAUUACGUGGUUACCAUGCUGUGUUCCUGUUUUAGUUUAAGUUGUGCUUCAGCAUUGUUACUUACCCUAUUCUUUCAACUCAAGUUCGCAUAGUGUUCACAGUUGUGGUAUUCUUAUUGUAACUUCUCCUUUUCUUUAUUUUUUCUGCUUGUCUGUUUCAUCUUGUUGUAAUGAAGUUUAGUCUUUUUUUCCAUGUUUUAGCUUUUCUAAUAUAUACUGCUAAAUUCAACUACGUACUCGCUGAAGAAACGAGGAAAAAGACUGUCACCUUAUUAUUGCCAUGUAAAGGGAGUGAAUCCCCCUUCACAAGAAGUAGAAAUUAGCAGAUAUCAUCUCUGUAUGUUAUGUACUGCUUUCCAUAACGCU